RNAcentral lists this ribosomal RNA (649 nucleotides) under uncultured bacterium. RNAcentral's name for it is "partial 16S ribosomal RNA". The record is from RNAcentral.
UACGGUUACCUUGUUACGACUUAGUCCCUGUCGCUGGAUUCACCUUCUGUCGCCACAAGCGACAUUCGGGUGCCCCCAACUUCAUUGACUUGACGGGCGGUGUGUACAAGACCUGAGAACGUAUUCACCGCGGCUUGGCUGAUCCGCGAUUACUACCAAUUCCUCGUUCAUGAGGGCGAGUUGCAGCCCUCAAUCCCCACUGAGAAGCCAUUUGAUGGGAUUAGCUCCGUCUUACGACUUGGCAACCCAUUGUCGGCCUCAUUGUAGCAUGUGUGUCGCCCUGGAUAUAAGGGCCAUGCUGACUUGACGUCGUCCCCACUUCCUCCCCGCUAAGCGGGAUAGUCCCGUAUGAAAUUCAACAUACGGCAGGGGUUGCGCUCGUUACCCCACUGAAGGGAACACCUCACGACACGAGCUGACGACAGCCAUGCAACACCUGUCCUAGCACUCUCGAAGAAAUCCCGAUCUCUCGGGACGUGCAGCUAGGAUGUCAAACCCAGGUAAGGUUCUUCGGUUCGUCUCGAAUUAAACCACAUGCUCCACUGGUUGUGCAGGUCCCCGUCAAUUCCUUUGAGUUUUAAUCUUGCGAUCGUACUCCCCAGGCGGCUCGCUUCACGCGUUAGCUUACGGGACCCAACCCGCUCUUUCC